GAUGAAGAACGUAGCAAAAUGCGAUAAGUAAUGUGAAUUGCAGAAUUCAGUGAAUCAUCGAAUCUUUGAACGCACAUUGCGCCCGCUGGUAUUCCGGCGGGCAUGCCUGUUCGAGCGUCAUUUCAACCAUCAAGCCCCAGGCUUGUGUUGGGGACCUGCGGCUGCCGCAGGCCCUGAAAACCAGUGGCGGGCUCGCUGUCACACCGGGCGUAGUAGAUUUUAUCUCGCUCAGGGCGUGCUGCGGGUUCCGGCCGUUAAAAAGCCUUUUUUACCCAAGGUUGACCUCGGAUCAGGUAGGAAGACCCGCUGAACUUAAGCAUAUCAAUAAGCGGAGGA
Molecule: unclassified non-coding RNA, 336 nt
Filed under: soil metagenome
Description: partial contains 5.8S ribosomal RNA, internal transcribed spacer 2, and large subunit ribosomal RNA
Rfam family: 5.8S ribosomal RNA (bases 1-120)
Source: RNAcentral